GAUGAACGCUGGCGGCGUGCCUAAUACAUGCAAGUCGAGCGAACGGACGAGAAGCUUGCUUCUCUGAUGUUAGCGGCGGACGGGUGAGUAACACGUGGAUAACCUACCUAUAAGACUGGGAUAACUUCGGGAAACCGGAGCUAAUACCGGAUAAUAUUUUGAACCGCAUGGUUCAAAAGUGAAAGACGGCCUUGCUGUCACUUAUAGAUGGAUCCGGGCUGCAUUAGCUAGUUGGUAAGGUAACGGCUUACCAAGGCAACGAUGCAUAGCCGACCUGAGAGGGUGAUCGGCCACACUGGAACUGAGACACGCUCCAUACUCCUACGGGAGGCAGCAGUAGGGAAUCUUCCGCAAUGGGCGAAAGCCUGACGGAGCAACGCCGCGUGAGUGAUGAAGGUCUUCGGAUCGUAAAACUCUGUUAUUAGGGAAGAACAUAUGUGUAAGUAACUGUGCACAUCUUGACGGUACCUAAUCAGAAAGCCCCGGCUAACUACGUG
RNAcentral lists this ribosomal RNA (497 nucleotides) under uncultured bacterium. RNAcentral describes it as "partial 16S ribosomal RNA". It matches the Rfam family "Bacterial small subunit ribosomal RNA", at positions 28 to 507 of the family's 1533-position model. The record is from RNAcentral.